UAAGGAAUAUUGGACAAUGGGCGCAAGCCUGAUCCAGCCAUGCCGCGUGAAGGAUGACGGCCCUAUGGGUUGUAAACUUCUUUUAGCAGGGAAAAAACCCCUCGAUGCGUCGGGGGCUGAUGGUACCUGCAGAAUAAGGAUCGGCUAACUCCGUGCCAGCAGCCGCGGUAAUACGGAGGAUCCAAGCGUUAUCCGGAUUUAUUGGGUUUAAAGGGUGCGUAGGCGGAUAAAUAAGUCAGUGGUGAAAGCC
RNAcentral lists this ribosomal RNA (250 nucleotides) under uncultured bacterium. Its description in RNAcentral is "partial 16S ribosomal RNA". It matches the Rfam family "Bacterial small subunit ribosomal RNA", at positions 355 to 602 of the family's 1533-position model. The record is from RNAcentral.